GAUGUCGGUUCGUCACAUCCUGGGGCUGGAGAAGGUCCCAAGGGUUCGGCUGUUCGCCGAUUAAAGUGGCACGUGAACUGGGUUCAGAACGUCGCAAGACAGUUCGGUCCCUAUCUGUGGUGGGCGUCAGGAGAUUGAGAGGACAUGACCUUAGUACGAGAGGACCGGGUCGUACGUACCGCUGGUGUAUCAGUUGUGCCGCCAGGCGCAGUGCUGAGUAGCUAUGUACGGACAGGAUAAACGCUGAAAGCAUCUAAGCGUGAAACCUACCUCAAGAUGAGUCUCCUUUUAAGGGCCGUCAAAGACUAUGACGUUGAUAGGCUACAGGUGUAAAGCUGGUGACAGCAAAGCCGAGUAGUACUAAUUGCCCGUACGCUUUAAUUUU
Molecule: ribosomal RNA, 385 nt
Filed under: Chitinophagales bacterium
Lineage: Bacteria; Pseudomonadati; Bacteroidota; Chitinophagia; Chitinophagales
Description: partial 23S ribosomal RNA
Rfam family: Bacterial large subunit ribosomal RNA
Source: RNAcentral